GUUUCUAAAGGUGUUGUAGCAUCCCAAAUCAUCAAUAAAUAACUAAGAAGUUUCCAAAAGAAGGAAGUGCAGCCAAACCCUUCCUGCACUUCAGAAACUCAACAUUUUCCAAUUAUGUUUCUUUUUCAUCACCGAUCUUUUUGCUUCCAAGUCAUCGAUUGAAUUUGCAAUACAUUGAAGUAGAUUUGUCAAUCUGAACGAAAAAACACUGCAACAAGAUCAAACACAUAAC
RNAcentral lists this long non-coding RNA (232 nucleotides) under Medicago truncatula (barrel medic). RNAcentral's name for it is "long non-coding RNA (MTRU_LNC000946)". The record is from RNAcentral. Lineage: Eukaryota; Viridiplantae; Streptophyta; Magnoliopsida; Fabales; Fabaceae.